This 2313-nucleotide long non-coding RNA is filed under the name Bemisia tabaci. RNAcentral describes it as "lncRNA ENSSWEETPG002510". The record is from RNAcentral. Lineage: Eukaryota; Metazoa; Arthropoda; Insecta; Hemiptera; Aleyrodidae.
UUAGGUAUUUUAAAUUGGAUAGUUUGAAGUGCUUGUUUUUUUAAAUUAAUUAAUGUAUACUGAUCCUUUCCUCUAUCAAAGCAUCACUGCGUCAAUAUGGUUCCUUGUCGAUUUAAUAAAGAAUUGACACAGACACAGAAUUUUUUUUUUUAUCUAAUGUAAGUAGCAACUGGAAUGUGGCUUGUCUCCUGACUAAUAUGAUCAUGGGGUCUUCAGAUCCGUUGACAAUCAUCCCAUUUAGCUCCUGGUUUUUGUUGAUCAAAAUAUUUUCUGUUCUAUUUUUAGAAUGACGGAGAAAUGACUUGGGUGAAGUGGUCAUCUUGAAUGCUGAUACAAAUACUGUCGAAACUCCAUUUGAUGAUUUAGAAAGUUUACCUCAAGAUGUCGUAAAUCGGCUGAGACGUCAAUUGAAAAACCGUGCUUUACUCUGGGAGACGGAGUAUCCAGAGCGUUCCUGCAAGCAUUAGUUUCAACUAAUCGGCGGUUACAGAGAUGGAUUGCGUUUUCAGCAAGGACAGGAGAUCACCUUCAACCCGGAAGCAUUUAUCAAUUCUCGACCUGCUUCCAUGCAACCAUUCCUGCGAAAGAUGCUUCACCUACAGAUUUUUUCAACAGUUCAUUGAAGAACGGUUAGAGCUGCUUAAUGCUGGUCUCGGUUUCUCAGAUGAGUUUGAGAUGGAAGCCUGCAGCUAUAUGGACAAAACUAGUUUCUAGACUGAAACAGCAAUACAAAGAAUGGACCUUCACUAUCAAACGAGACAGUACAGCGUUCCUGAGGAGUGUCAAAAACCGGGUACGAAUCUUCAUUUUUCACUCUUCCUCAUGCAGCUAAUACCAGAAUGAGUGUCCCCUUUUCUCCUCGGCUGUUUUAUUUCUGAUUAAUGUGUAGUUUUAUUUAGCUGGAAUGGAGUGUUUUUUUAACGCUGCUAACUAGAAGAGUUUGUAACAGAGAUAACACAGAUAUAACAGAGAAUCUUUAUCGCAACGUCACCAUUACUAGUGUUCGUAUUGCUGAUGCUAAACAAUAAGGGCCACAUGAGUAUUUAAGCUGUAACUUCUGUAGUGCUGUCAUGAAUUUUUUGGCUAUAAUUUGUUCAAUUGAGAUAGAUAACAAAGUAGUUUCUAAUUUAUUACAGUCAACAUCCUCCUCUCUCGUAUUACGAAAAAGUAAAAGAAGAAAAUAACUUACAAAAUUGAAGUGAUGCAGAAGAAAGAAUCUUCAAAUUCAUGAAUAAUCAAAUGUAGUUGCAUGCCCCGACAGAUUUUUUUGGGUAAUCAUUUAUUCUUAGUCUAGUUGAUUUAUGCCUCUUACUCCCUUUUCAUCUUGUUUUCUUUUUCAUCCAUUCCCUCUUCAGUUUAUGUUUUUGUUGAGCUCAAGUAUUUUAUUUCUUAUUCUUAUUGACAUUGCAGGCCAACCCAGCAGUUAAGUCCGCUGUUAAAACCGUAAGUAGUUUUUUUUUAAGUUGUUGAAUCAUAUAUUAUUUACGAUUGUCUCUGCUUUCUUCUCCCCAGACUCCCCAUGCUUGCAACAUUUGAAUUAAAUAGUUUUAUUAGAACUAGCUGUGAUUUUUCAUUUUAUUCCAGUGCUUGGGAUGUCAAAAUUUUGUGAUAAUACUUUUAAUAGGUGUGUGAUUUUACAUUCAAGUUAUUUUUUUCAAGUAGGUAUUAUGUCCUGUUGAACAGGACUGCCACAGUCAGGGAUUACUGGAAAAUAUCACAGGCAAUGACGAAAUAGUUGUGUAAAAAUUGUUGAGUCACCGUUUUUGCUUUCCAGAAUGGGUUUAAACGUUUUAAGCAACGAAUUUUGCCCGGAAAACUAUUCCAUAGUAAGUUUUUUUAUCCAUCCGGCAUAUCAUCAAUAGUCAGGGAAUUUUACAAACAUAUGUCAGAGGAAAUUUAUUUUCGAAAUUCUGUGGUACCUUGUACAUGAGAAAAUUUUGAUUAUUUACUUACAUUUCUUUCGUCGAUUGAUCAUCAAAUUUUUCAGUUUUUAUUGUUUGGUUAAUAUUUGAAGUCUAGGUCUUUCUGCGCAGGCAAUCUUUCACUAGUGCUGAGGACCUAUUCCCCCAGUGCUGAGGACCUAUUCCUCUGGUGCUAGCUGACAAUGAGUGCAAAGUAUUUGAGACAGAACCACAUUAGUUGCUGUGUUUAAAAAAUUUUCCUCUUACUUUGUUUUUUUAAAUAGAAAACCAAUCAAUAUUUUUGCGCGGAAAGUUAUAGAGAAAUCCCCCAUUUUAUUUACUGAAAUGGUUGAUUUUCCUGCAUCAAAAUGUGACAUUGAUUUUGCAUUGUCGCGAAUAUACUUAUCUUUUU